AGUAAAACGUAAAUGACCUACCCCCAACAUCGGGACAACCGUUCGAAAGGAUGGCUAAUACCGAAUAAGCCCACGGAUCUGGAUCUGUGAGAAAAGGGCCGGGACCUUUUGAGGCCGGUCGGUUGAGGAGGGGUUUGCGGCGCAUCAGGUAGUUGGUGAGGUAACGGCUCACCAAGCCGAAGACGCGUAGCUGGUCUGAGAGGAUGAUCAGCCACACUGGAACUGAGACACGGUCCAG
This 238-nucleotide ribosomal RNA is filed under the name uncultured bacterium. RNAcentral's name for it is "partial 16S ribosomal RNA". It matches the Rfam family "Bacterial small subunit ribosomal RNA", at positions 109 to 334 of the family's 1533-position model. The record is from RNAcentral.